This 861-nucleotide ribosomal RNA is filed under the name Phylloporia hainaniana. RNAcentral's name for it is "eukaryotic LSU rRNA". It matches the Rfam family "Eukaryotic large subunit ribosomal RNA", at positions 76 to 915 of the family's 3401-position model. Lineage: Eukaryota; Fungi; Basidiomycota; Agaricomycetes; Hymenochaetales; Hymenochaetaceae. The record is from RNAcentral.
UCCCCUAGUAACUGCGAGUGAAGCGGGAAGAGCUCAAAUUUGUAAUCUGGUGGUCUUUGGCCACUCGAGUUGUAAUCUGUAGAGGUGUUGUCUGCGUCGGCCCGUGUACAAGUCUCCUGGAAUGGAGCGUCAUAGAGGGUGAGAAUCCCGUCCAUGAUAUGGACCACCGAUGCUUUGUGAGGCACCCUCGAAGAGUCGCGUUGUUUGGGAAUGCAGCGCAAAAUGGGUGGUAAAUUCCAUCUAAAGCUAAAUACUGGCGAGAGACCGAUAGCGAACAAGUACCGUGAGGGAAAGAUGAAAAGCACUUUGAAAAGAGAGUUAAACAGUACGUGAAAUUGUUGAAAGGGAAACGCUUGAAAUCAGUCGUGUCCUGGGGCACUCAACCUUGCUUCGGCUUGGUGUACUUGCCUUAGGAUGGGUCAAUAUCAAUUUUGGCCGGUGGAUAAGGAUGAGAGGAAAGUAGCGUCAUUUUGGUGACGUGUUAUAGCCUCUUGUCAAAUACAUCAGCUGAGAUUGAGAAUCGCAGCACGCCCUUGUGGUCGGAGGUUCGCCUCAUGUAACGUGCUUAGGAUGUUGACAUAAUGGUUUUAAGCGACCCGUCUUGAAACACGGACCAAGGAGUCUAACAUGCUUGCGAGUGUUUGGGUGGGAAACCCUUGUGCGUAAUGAAAGUGAAAGUUGGGAGCCUCCGUAAGGGGGUGCACCGACGCCCGGCCCUGACGUUCUCUGAUGGCGCUGCGGUAGAGCAAGCAUGUUGGGACCCGAAAGAUGGUGAACUAUGCCUGAAUAGGGCGAAGCCAGAGGAAACUCUGGUGGAGGCUCGUAGCGAUUCUGACGUGCAAAUCGAUCGUCAAAUUUGGG